Molecule: non-coding RNA, 31 nt
Filed under: Rattus norvegicus (Norway rat)
Lineage: Eukaryota; Metazoa; Chordata; Mammalia; Rodentia; Muridae
Source: RNAcentral
UACAAACAAAAGUCAGGUGUGACUGCUCAGG